AUUGAACGCUGGCGGCAUGCCUUACACAUGCAAGUCGAACGGCAGCACGGGAGCAAUCCUGGUGGCGAGUGGCGAACGGGUGAGUAAUAUAUCGGAACGUGCCCAGUCGUGGGGAUAACGUAGCGAAAGCUACGCUAAUACCGCAUACGAUCUAUGGAUGAAAGCGGGGGAUCGCAAGACCUCGCGCGAUUGGAGCGGCCGAUAUCAGAUUAGGUAGUUGGUGAGGUAAAGGCUCACCAAGCCGACGAUCUAGUAGCUGGUCUGAGAGGACGACCAGCCACACUGGGACUGA
Molecule: ribosomal RNA, 292 nt
Filed under: uncultured bacterium
Lineage: Bacteria
Description: partial 16S ribosomal RNA
Rfam family: Bacterial small subunit ribosomal RNA
Source: RNAcentral